CGAGAACCAGUCGCCUCAAAGUCGCCGAGCCGCUGUCCUCGUCGAUCUCUCGAAAAUCAUUUUUUUCUCAUUUUUUCAAAACCUUUUCCCGACGUUUUCGCCACGAUUUCGAGGCGAGCGGUGAACGGGAGAUCGCGACCUCCGUGACUUCGAGAUCAUUCAAUGAUAAUUGUGUGCUCGUAUCUCUCGAGACAUUCGCCAUUCAACGACGAAGCACUUGCAAGUGAUGUCCGAUCGAACAAAAUAAUGGGUCAGUGAUUGAGGAACCUCGGAAUAAAAAUAAACGAUUGUAAACAAACAAGAUAUUUGUGGUGAAAAGACCGGGAAAAUAUUUAUGAAUGAAAGGCUACGAGGGAGUGCGCGUUAUGACCGAGCGUGGCGACGGUACCGCCACCUCGGGGCAAAACCGACGCGACGUUUACGGCAAGAGGCGUGAAUUCUUCAAAAAUAUGUCAGAGUUUCCGGCCGAAGGAGCCGAAAACGGAGACAUGCAGGCAGUCAUGGAAAAUUUUCAGAAGAAAAAUAAUCUCAUCACUGGACGAUCGCACUCGCAUCAUCCGCAGGUCACGUCCUCUUCACAGAUACUGACGAACCAGAGCCAAACGAGCAGCUCGAGCAGCAGCAGAGUGGCCAAAUCCUCUCAGAGGAUUCUUACCUCGUCGUCGUCGAGUGAAAUGAAAGCGAGCUCCAUGAAGAGCGACCUCACUGAGUUGAAACGAGGAAUUUCUGAAAUGAAAAAUAUGUCGACUAACUUUUCACAACGGUUGAGAAGCAGCAUGGAGAAUCUCGUCGACAGAGACGGGAGCGGCCCUGAGGAGAACGAUUUGUCCGAGCCGCUUGUUACGUUUCCGGAUCCGGAUACGCCACCCCCGGUCACCGGAACUGUCACUCUCUCCGGAUCACCUUCGCAACUCAGUAGCCUCAAUUCUCUCAACAAUCUUCACAAUAUGAGCCCCACUAUCAAUAUGUCCAAUAUGCCGAACAUGUCUUCCCUACCGGCUGGACCGGAAACCAUGAAGUUCGAACAGAAAAAAGUUACGAGUGCUUCAAAAACAAAGGUCGUCACUGAUGGCUUCAGUGCGGAAAAAGCGACUGCGAAUAGCGCCGAAAUGAGGGCGCUUCAAGCCGGUGAUGUAUCCUACAAAGAGCAAAGCGCAGCUACAGCGGCGAGAGCAAGAGUGGAAAUGGACGGUGUAUCGGCGGAAAAGAGUGUUGCAUCGGCCAUGGAACAAAGAAGCUUGAAAGCUGGCGAUCUCUCUCAUCAGGAAAGCAACAACGUGGCUGCCUCGUCGAUGAAACUUCAGAGCGAUUCCUUCACAUCCGAAAAGAAAGCAAUGGCGGCUCAGCAGCAAAGACAGACGGUCUCUUCAUCCGGUAUCUACAAUCACGAGAAGCACAUGGCAUCAUCCUCUCAAUCGAGUAUAACGAUAGCGUCGAAGGGAGUGACGUCGAAAUCAUCUAUGAUAACAGCGGCAUCAGCGGUGAAUCAACUGAUGAACGGAAUGCGUCCCGGUGACGACGAAUUACUGUCAUUGCCGUUGGACGAUUUGGAUGAUUUGUGUUCGAAUUCAAAUACUCAGGACGUCGGAACGGCGAUAGCUAAAUAUUCGGGGUUUUUGAAUAACUGCGUGGAACGUUUGAAAGCGAACGAUUCGUCGAAAAGCGGAAAAGCACCGUUAUUGUUGAACCGUGUGAAUGAAAUAAUCCGGAAGGCAUGGGCAGUGCCGACGCACGGCCACGAGCUUGGUUACACGCUGUGCAAUACUUUAAGAACGACAGGAGGCCUUGAACUUUUGAUGACGAAUUGUGAGGCGAGCGAUCACGAGUUACAAUUUUCAUCGGCGCGUCUUCUGGAGCAAUGUUUAACAACGGAAAAUCGUGCUCACGUGGUAGAGAACGGUUUGGAAAAAGUGGUGACGGUCGCUUGUGUUUGUACGAAAAAUGCGAAUUCGGUUGAUCACGCGAGAGUCGGGACCGGAAUAUUGGAACAUUUGUUCAAACACAGCGAAGGCACGUGCAGCGAUGUCAUUAGAUUGGGAGGACUCGACGCUGUUCUCUUCGAGUGUCGUAAAAAUGACGUUGAAACGCUACGUCACUGCGCGGGUGCGUUGGCCAACUUGUCGUUGUACGGAGGUGCGGAAAAUCAAGAAGCCAUGAUCAAGAGAAAAGUUCCCGUGUGGUUAUUCCCGCUAGCAUUUCACAACGACGACAAUAUCAAGUAUUACGCUUGUCUAGCGAUCGCCGUUCUCGUAGCCAACAAAGAGAUCGAAGCUGCGGUCCUCGAAUCCGGGACUUUGAAUCUCGUCGAGCCGUUCGUCACCUCGCACAAUCCCUACGAAUUUGCCAAAUCGAAUCUCGCUCACGCUCACGGACAAAGCAAAAAUUGGCUCGAACGCUUGGUACCGGUGCUGAGCUCGAAACGAGAGGAAGCCAGAAACUUAGCUGCUUUCCACUUUUGUAUGGAAGCUGGCAUAAAAAAACAGCAGGGUAACACGGAAAUAUUCCGCGCUAUCGGAGCCAUAGAGCCCUUGAAAAAAGUCGCUAGUUGCCCGAACGCCGUUGCCUCCAAAUAUGCCGCCCAAGCUUUGAGGCUAAUCAACGAAGAAAUUCCCCAUAAAUUGAGUCAGCAGGUGCCGUUGUGGUCAACCGAAGAUGUCAGAGAGUGGGUCAAACAAAUUGGUUUCGCCGAGUACGCCACGAACUUCGUGGAAUCUCGCGUCGAUGGCGAUUUGUUGUUGCAGCUGACGGAAGAAAAUUUGCGCGAGGACAUCGGUCUCACCAACGGUAUAAGACGCAGACGUUUCACUCGAGAAUUACAGAAUCUCAAAAAAAUGGCUGAUUACAGCAGUCGUGACAUCGGCAAUUUAAACAGCUUUUUACAACAAAUCGGAGCUGAAUUUUCCAUUUAUACUUAUGGCAUGCUCAACGCCGGCGUCGACAAAGAAUCGAUCAGGAAUAUAUCCGAGGAUCAAUUGUUGAGCGAAUGCGGUAUUACCAACAGCAUUCACAGAUUGCGAAUUCUCGAUGCCAUCAAAAAUGGUCAAUCGAAUUCAUUCAGCCCCUGCGGACCGGACGAAUCGCCGGAUAAAUCACUCGAUGUUUUCGUCAGUUAUCGUCGAUCCAACGGCUCACAAUUGGCCAGUCUUCUUAAGGUACAUCUACAAUUACGCGGAUUUUCCGUUUUUAUCGAUGUCGAAAGGCUCGAAGCUGGAAAGUUCGAUAACAAUCUUCUGCAAAGCAUUCGACAAGCCAAACACUUUUUAUUGGUACUCACACCUAAAGCUCUUGAAAGAUGCACCCAGGAUACCGAGGGCAAAGACUGGGUUCACAGAGAAAUCGUUGCAGCGUUGCAAUCACAAUGUAACAUUAUUCCGAUAAUCGAUAACUUCCAAUGGCCCGAACCUGAAGAAUUACCCGAAGACAUGAGAGCAGUUUGUCAUUUCAAUGGUGUUCGAUGGAUUCACGAUUACCAAGACGCCUGCGUAGACAAAUUGGAAAGGUUCAUGCGCUUAGAAACACCGGUACGUUCUGAAUUAUCGAGCGGAAUAUAUCGUGGAAUCGGGUCGAAGGAAGUUACGACACCGAGCACACCGGGAAGCACAAACAUGCGGCAACCCCCAAAUUAUCAGCGAAUGCACAGUAAUGAGAGCCGAGGAAGCGACAAAGAUUCUACGAAUGGUCGAGAUUGACUAGAGGGCCCGCCCACAGCCAUACCAAGCAGCGGGGAUCGAUCGGAAUAAAUCGUAUAGAAAGAAAGUAAACAAAAACGGGAAGAUCGAAAUUAAAAUGCGUUCGGAUCUCAAUAGGCUUCGUAAAUCAUCGAGUCCGUCGCAUUGGCUGAUGAGCAUGCCACCAACGUCUCCGCGUCUUAAAUUCAUUCACACCCAUCCGGGAAGAAGUCCGAUACCUCGUCGUCCUCCUCGACAUCCAUCUUCGCCAUCGGUGCGUUCUCGUUCGCUGGAGUUGCUCGAUCGAACAGAACGUAAAACUGUAAAGCCGGUGAACAAACCUGAGCCACUGCCACGUCCAAGAUCUCGAAGUCUCGAUGGACUCCUCGACGACGACGGCCUCGUCGAAACUCCGGAAACGUCCGCGAAGAGACGUUCUCGGAGUCCAAUUGGUACAACCGUCGAGAAUUUAAAAGGCACGAAAAUAAUCGAGUGCAGCGAAGAAAGUUUGUCCGCGAAUGUGAUAGCAGCUGGGGAAGCACAAACUGCAGGCAACGAGCUAAAUCCGAUGCCCGUUCCGAGACUCCGAGUAAAAUUGAAUGGUGGCAAAAUCGAUUCAAUGGAGGCAACUAAACCGGAAGCACGACGAGGAAGUUCACGAGAUUCCUCGUCGUCGUCCGAAGAUUGCACGGAAAAACGGAGUUCGAACAAUUCUCAAACUCGUUCGACCAGCAAAGAGGUUGGCAAAGGAAUGAUUGAAGACGUUGCUGAAAAAAUUAUCGAGAACAGCUGUGAUAGGAACAAAUAUGAUGAAACGAUUUACGCGAUGAAAAAAGAAAAGCCUUGCACGACACUCCUCAAAGCGAAAAGCUGUGGCGCGGGUUUAGACGACAACGAAAUGUUUUCGUCCAACCACUACGAAGAUCAAGACAACUCGUGUAAAAACCUCAAUUCCCACAAUCAAAAGCAACAACAAAGAGGCUCGUUACUCUCUUUGCACGCAACUUCCGCCGCUGAUCCAAAAAGAAAGCGAAAUUUCAUGAACAAAUGUGUCAACAAAGUGAGAUCAUUGAUCAAGAAAUAAUCGAUCUAUCUAAUGCGAGGACAAAAAAUACAGACACAAAAAAGUGAUAUAGACUUAUAAAUUGAAUUUUUUACACACAAAGUGCUAAAUGAAACGAAGUGCUUUAAUGACGUUUGAACGCGACAAAGAGUCUUCUCAAUUUUUGUCGUUCGAGCUCUCCAACAAAAGAAUGCAGUUUUCAGGGCUUGACUACGAAAUAGAGAGGAACCUAUUGAAUAAUCGUUAAUUUAUUGUACACGUUAUAGAAUAUUUUCGUUUAUCAGGCAGCUAAGAAUUUGUUCCGAAUAUACAACGACUGGCAGCAUUGAGAGGAUGACAAAUAAUUGUGCCUAAGCUAAACGAACGUGUUUUCGUUGUAUGCCAUUUUUUUAUUAUGAAAAAUUUCGAAAAGUAUAACAGAUAGGCAGCUUUCACGGGUGCUUUUUAUAUUUCCUUUCAAAAACAGAAAAUGUAUUAUACUGUUCUUAUAUAAGUAGGGUAAUCAUUGUAUUGUUAAUUCUUUUUACUAUUUUUUUUUUAGUUAUUUUAAUCACCGACUACGCGAUAUUUUAUUAUGGUUAUCAUUUUUCGAUGCAGCUACAAACGACUGUUGAACAUGUAUUUUCGGUUUGUUUUAAUGAUUAUUUCAUUUUGUAUUUUAGACAUUCAUUGUAAGCCGUAAUUUAGAGUAUUUUUAUCAUUUUAAGGUAUUAGACAACUUUCGUCGGAGAAAGCGAUUCUAGGUUAUUAUGUUGACAUAAUUAUACAUAGAUCUAUUUAUAUACAUGAAUAUAUUAUUAUAUACACUAUUUAAGAACCAUUACCCAUAUUUUACCAAAGGUUCACCACAGUGGAGAAUGUAUGUUUUUUUUUCGAAAUCUUCCCUCUGCUUGUUUCGCGACUAAAUUUUUUUAUGGAAAUGAAAAUAAAGAAAUGAGGAAGGAAGAAACA
Molecule: RNA transcript, 5682 nt
Organism: Venturia canescens
Lineage: Eukaryota; Metazoa; Arthropoda; Insecta; Hymenoptera; Ichneumonidae
Gene: Sarm
Gene name: sterile alpha and armadillo motif
Exons: 12
Source: RefSeq, a predicted model, not a curated record